CUGAUUUCAUCAUCAUUUAAAAAAAUCAUCUAUAUUUUUCACUUUAUGUUUCUGUGUGGGUGCAAACUGUUGAAAUCCAUACUUGAUGUAUACUAAGCUGAUCUUCUGUAUAUAAAGAGAAUCGAAAAUGAAUCUUGAUGUGAAUGGAAGGGGAGAGGGAGUGGGAAAGGGGAGGGUUGUGGGUGGGAGGGACGGUAUGGGGGGGAAGCCAUUGUAAUCCAUAAGUCGUACUUUGGAAAUUUAUAUGCAUUAAAUAAAAGUUAAAAAAAAAAAGAAAUCUGAAAAAAAAAAAGAAAAAAAAAUAACAUCUACAACAGUAACUAAGAGGGCAAGUUAUUGUGAGCUAAUCAAAUUAAUGAAAAAUAAUGAGUCAUCUGAACCCAUUGAAAAAAAGACAAAUUUAUUGCUGAUUAGACAUGGUUACUGACUUCGAUGAGGACAAAAUGAAACUCAUAAUAACAUCAAAGUAAUGAAGAUACGUGGAACAAACUGGUAAUAAGUCUUGUCAACUCAUAGUAUAUGAGAAAGUCAGUGUACUAGAACAUCUGUAAUACCUAAAUCUUAUUUAUUUGCAAGGAACUUCAUAAAAGCUUUCCAAAUUGUGAAACAAUCUAAAGAUUUUCAUCACUAUCAAUAGCAACGCGUGAAAAUUAAAAUUUCCUAAAUUAAUAAUAAAUGAUAUGAAUAAUAAUAAUUUAGUAAUCAUAAAAUUAUGUUAAGAGAUCAUUGAUUUUGCUGAUUUUCUGACAUUUGUGUCAGAUUUUACAUUUAUGAUGUAUUUUAUCAUUCAGAUACAUGAACAGAUACAGAGAAAUCCAGUAGAAUUUAGGACUUACAAAAAAAGUAAAGUAGAAAGUCAAUGAAAAAUUGAUAUUUCCCAGCAAACCUUGGAAGACUUCCCAAAUUGGAAUUAACAAGAGCUUGGCCAGCAUAGACACUGUGGUUGUUACUGGGAUAAUUUAUUGAAAACUCUAAGCAGGCCAGUUCGAAAAGCCACUUGGACUGUGGACACGUGUGGCAUCAGCAGCAAUAUGGAAAUUAGAUUCAGAAGAAUAUUAUCUUCAAGAAGUGAAGGAUAAACAAUUGUUUAUAUACUAUCUUGUAUCAGUAAACAUUUAGGGAAAAAGAUAAA
Molecule: long non-coding RNA, 1132 nt
Filed under: Oryctolagus cuniculus (rabbit)
Lineage: Eukaryota; Metazoa; Chordata; Mammalia; Lagomorpha; Leporidae
Description: lncRNA (ENSOCUG00000034375.1)
Source: RNAcentral